AUUCAAAUUUCUGCCCUAUCAACUUUCGAUGGUAGGAUAGUGGCCUACCAUGGUGGCAACGGGUAACGGGGAAUUAGGGUUCGAUUCCGGAGAGGGAGCCUGAGAAACGGCUACCACAUCCAAGGAAGGCAGCAGGCGCGCAAAUUACCCAAUCCCGAUACGGGGAGGUAGUGACAAUAAAUACUGAUACAGGGCUCUUUUGGGUCUUGUAAUUGGAAUGAGAACAAUUUAAAUCCCUUAACGAGGAACAAUUGGAGGGCAAGUCUGGUGGACCUUCAGCCCAUCUGCUGACGCCAGAGAUAGUAGGGCCCCCUGACCGGAGGGGGUUAUGCCUGCUAGUCGAGCAUUCGCGAUCGCGAUGGGUGAAUGCCGGCGAGGUGACCUGGUACGGGGAAGCCUACGGCCUCCGAGGCUAUGGUAAUCCCGUGGCGAGCCCCCUUCCGGGGCCGUCGUAACGCGCGCAAAGGCACCGGUUGCCCGCCUCCGGGCGGGUGACUCNAGGGACGUGCUGUCCCAUCNNAAAGGAUGCCCGCCGCUGGAGCACCCAUCGUGCAAAGGCUGCGGGGGGCGG
RNAcentral lists this ribosomal RNA (571 nucleotides) under Talaromyces viridulus. Its description in RNAcentral is "partial 18S ribosomal RNA". The stretch from base 1 to 493 matches the Rfam family "Eukaryotic small subunit ribosomal RNA", at positions 297 to 600 of the family's 1831-position model. The record is from RNAcentral. Lineage: Eukaryota; Fungi; Ascomycota; Eurotiomycetes; Eurotiales; Trichocomaceae.